This 284-nucleotide unclassified non-coding RNA is filed under the name uncultured fungus. Its description in RNAcentral is "partial contains small subunit ribosomal RNA, internal transcribed spacer 1, and 5.8S ribosomal RNA". The stretch from base 1 to 73 matches the Rfam family "Eukaryotic small subunit ribosomal RNA", at positions 1759 to 1831 of the family's 1831-position model. Lineage: Eukaryota; Fungi. The record is from RNAcentral.
GCAAACUUGGUCAUUUAGAGGAAGUAAAAGUCGUAACAAGGUUUCCGUAGGUGAACCUGCGGAAGGAUCAUUACCGAGAACAUGCCCUACAGGGUAUAUCUCCCACCCUUUGUAAACAAUACCAUGUUGCUUUGGCAGGCCCGUCUUUGACCACUGGCUUUUGGCUGGUCUGUGCCUGCCAGAGGAUUUAAAAACCCUAUAUUUUUGUGUUCUGAGUUUAGUUUUCAAUAGUUAAAACUUUCAACAACGGAUCUCUUGGUUCUGGCAUCGAUGAAGAACGCAGC